GUCCAUAGUUACCAAAUUCGCUCACCCCCUAGGUACCAUGAUCUGAGUUGCAUGUCCCAAUUCGCGGGACAAUUGCAUUUCAAAUCAGUAGGGGCCAAAAUAGGGGUUCCAGCAAAAAAGGAAAAGAAGGAAGAAAGGAGAAGGAGAAGAAGAAAGUUAAACAGAAAUGAAGUAAGAAGCAGCCAUGUGUAGGAGAAGAAGAAGAACCAGCAGCCAGGCAGCAAAGAAGAAGAAGGAAUGACGCUUGGAUGGAGAAAUAUGAAAUGGGGCUCCUUUUUCUAUGUUAGUGGGGUUAGGUGGGAGUGCAAGUGGAACCUUGUCUUGGGAGAGUAAUAUACAACAAAUAUUGUUAGACUAAGAGGAUGUUUGUCUUAGUAAACCCG
RNAcentral lists this unclassified non-coding RNA (383 nucleotides) under Hevea brasiliensis (rubber tree). The record is from RNAcentral. Lineage: Eukaryota; Viridiplantae; Streptophyta; Magnoliopsida; Malpighiales; Euphorbiaceae.